AUUUAUCUUCUCUGCAAAAGCUAAGCAAACACAUUUUAUUUGAUGGGAGCCAAGUGAUAUAAAUAGAAAAGGGGAAAGAAAAAAACAUUACUGACUUCACAAGGUACAGAAUGUCUGCAAGUAAUCAAACACACCUGAAGACCCUUCGAGAGAUAGGAAAAUAUCAAGAUCCAGAGCACAGCUUCCGGAGCCAUUCUGCCUGGAAUCAGGUCAUCAUUCCACACCUGACCCAGGGCUUCUUGAUUCACCUAGCUUCACAAGAGCCAAGAGUUUCUGCCAUCAGGUGUGUUGAUGGAGAGCGGUCAUACAGUGCUAGUAAUUGCCUUGGAUUCCUGUGCUGUCCUUCAUCAGGGACCUUUAAUGAAGUCUGAGUUGUAGUCCAGUGGAUGCCAGACUGGAAUGCAGGGAGGCUGAAAGCUGACACCAGUUCAACGGAGCCAAGGGCCAGGCGCUAAGGUUGUCUCCAUGACAACCUGCGGAUUUUCCUGGUGAUGCAUUUACACAGCAGGUUAAAGUUCUGUGAAUCAACAGCUGUUGUAAAAACAGUAUAUUAAAUAUGCU
Molecule: long non-coding RNA, 561 nt
Filed under: Vulpes vulpes (red fox)
Lineage: Eukaryota; Metazoa; Chordata; Mammalia; Carnivora; Canidae
Description: lncRNA (ENSVVUG00000022405.1)
Source: RNAcentral